This 442-nucleotide ribosomal RNA is filed under the name uncultured bacterium. Its description in RNAcentral is "bacterial SSU rRNA". It matches the Rfam family "Bacterial small subunit ribosomal RNA", at positions 958 to 1398 of the family's 1533-position model. The record is from RNAcentral.
AACGCGAAGAACCUUACCUACCCUUGACAUCCAGAGAAUCCUGCAGAGAUGUGGGAGUGCCGCAAGGAACUCUGAGACAGGUGCUGCAUGGCUGUCGUCAGCUCGUGUUGUGAGAUGUUGGGUUAAGUCCCGUAACGAGCGCAACCCUUAUCCUUAGUUGCCAACAUGUAAAGGUGGGGACUCUAAGGAGACUGCCGGUGAUGAACCGGAGGAAGGCGGGGACGACGUCAAGUCAUCAUGGCCUUUAUGGGUAGGGCUACACACGUGCUACAAUGGCCGGUACAGAGGGUAGCGAAAGCGCGAGCUGAAGCCAAUCCCGAAAAGCCGGUCGUAGUCCGGAUCGGAGUCUGCAACUCGACUCCGUGAAGUCGGAAUCGCUAGUAAUCGCGAAUCAGAAUGUCGCGGUGAAUACGUUCCCGGGCCUUGUACACACCGAGACGAC